RNAcentral lists this ribosomal RNA (424 nucleotides) under uncultured Treponema sp. RNAcentral's name for it is "bacterial SSU rRNA". It matches the Rfam family "Bacterial small subunit ribosomal RNA", at positions 355 to 769 of the family's 1533-position model. Lineage: Bacteria; Pseudomonadati; Spirochaetota; Spirochaetia; Treponematales; Treponemataceae. The record is from RNAcentral.
CUAAGAAUAUUCCGCAAUGGAGGAAACUCUGACGGAGCGACGCCGCGUGGAUGAUGAAGGUCGGAAGAUUGUAAAAUCCUUUUAUGACUGAGGAAUAAGCCGGGUGAGAGAAACGCCUGGUGGUGACUGUAGGUCAUGAAUAAGCAACGGCUAAUUACGUGCCAGCAGCCGCGGUAACACGUAAGUUGCGAGCGUUGUUCGGAAUUAUUGGGCGUAAAGGGCAUGUAGGCGGUCUGUCAAGCCAGGCGUGAAAGCCAGGGGCUCAACCCCUGAACUGCGCUUGGAACUGGCGGACUGGAGUCGCUGAGGGGGAACCGGAAUUCCUGGUGUAGGGGUGAAAUCUGUAGAUAUCAGGAAGAACACCGAUGGCGAAGGCAGGUUUCCAGCAGACGACUGACGCUGAGGUGCGAAGGUGCGGGGGAGC